GUGAGGAAUAUUGGGCAAUGGGGGAAACCCUGACCCAGCGACGCCGCGUGAGGGAAGAAGGUCUUCGGAUUGUAAGCCUCUGUCUUCGGGGACGAUAAUGACGGUAACCGGGGAGGAAGCCACGGCUAACUACGUGCCAGCAGCCGCGGUAAAACGUAGUUGGCAAGCGUUGUCCGGAAUUACUGGGUGUAAAGGGAGCGCAGGUGGGGCUGUAAGUCGAAUGUGAAAUCUAUGGGCACAACUCAUAAAUUGCGUUCGAUACUAUAGUUCUUGAGUGGAGUAGAGGCAGGCGGAAUUCCCGGUGUAGCGGUGGAAUGCGUAGAUAUCGGGAGGAACACCAGUGGCGAAGGCGGCCUGCUGGGCUUUAACUGACACUGAGGCUCGAAAGCGUGAGUAGCAAACAGGAUUAGAAACCCGUGUAGUCC
RNAcentral lists this ribosomal RNA (425 nucleotides) under uncultured bacterium. RNAcentral's name for it is "partial 16S ribosomal RNA". It matches the Rfam family "Bacterial small subunit ribosomal RNA", at positions 354 to 796 of the family's 1533-position model. The record is from RNAcentral.